RNAcentral lists this long non-coding RNA (298 nucleotides) under Vigna radiata. Its description in RNAcentral is "long non-coding RNA (VRAD_LNC001627)". The record is from RNAcentral. Lineage: Eukaryota; Viridiplantae; Streptophyta; Magnoliopsida; Fabales; Fabaceae.
GGGGAGGGGUUUUGAAAAGGUUGUGGUGAAUACAGACAAAUUAACUGAAAUCCAAAACACAAAUGCAAACAAAAAUGUAAACACAGAUCUAAAGAAAACGGUUUCAAACACAAACUAAAGAAGGUUGGUCAUUUACUUAACUACAAUGUUUCCAAUCACAGAUCCACAAAAUAAGGUUGCAACUCAAACCUCUAAUCCAACAAAGUUAACUAACUAAGCGAAGGUUAACCCUGUUUUCAUAAAAGCGAACUAAGCGAACGCAGUGUUAAUAUCAAAUCUAAUUUACACCAUUCAGUUA